UACGUAGGGGGCGAGCGUUGUCCGGAGUUACUGGGCGUAAAGCGCGCGUAGGCGGGGAAUUAAGUGAGAAGUGAAAGGCUGGGGCUCAACCUCAUGCAGUGCUUCUCAUACUGGUUCUCUUGAGGGCGGUAGAGAGAAGUGGAAUGGCUGGUGUAGCGGUGAAAUGCGUAGAUAUUCGGAAGAACACCAGUGGCGAAGGCGACUUACUGGACACAUAUUGACGCUGAGGUGCGAAAGCGUGGGGAGCAAACAGG
Molecule: ribosomal RNA, 254 nt
Filed under: uncultured bacterium
Lineage: Bacteria
Description: partial 16S ribosomal RNA
Rfam family: Bacterial small subunit ribosomal RNA
Source: RNAcentral